AAUCCUGCCUGCACCUCUCAAAGUGCUGGGAUAAGCAGCAUGGACCACCGCCUCCAGCCUUGUUAGCUUUCAUAUUUGUACGUUAAUAGUAUGCACUUGUAGUAUAAAAAUAUAGUAACUAAAAACUUUGUACCAAACGGAUUUUAGAACUCUAAUAUUUUAGUAAUCAGAUGCAAAAUAUUAUGCUACACUGCAAUUUGUAAGGUGCUAGUAAAUAACAAUGGAAAAUGACAUUUUAAUAUAGACUAUGGCACUUAAUGUGUAAAAUUAAUUAAAGGUUAACAGAGAUGAGAAUCAAGUAUUCUAAAAUGGCAUCAAAAUGUUGACUCGAGAGUAUGAAAUGUUUUCCGAAGAAAUGUCUGAAGAAACAUUUCAUUUCCAUGUUCUAGUUUUAACUUUCAGAUGUAGAAAUUAUGAUUUACUAAAUUAAUUAUAAUGCUUUCACCAUAAAUCUAGCAUAUACAUUCAUUUACUUCAUCAGCAGACCCUUAUAAAAUGCAUAACUAAUAAACUCGGGGAAGUUAUGAAAAAUUUUGCAAGGAUAAAGAUACAUUACAAAAAAGCCCAAGGUUUAAGUUUCCUAAGAGAAUUGCACUGAGACUUGAACUAGUGAUCAGAUUUCCUACAGUGUCCCGGAAAACCUGGUACUUUCAAAGUGAAUUCUAUUGUUCAUUUCAUCAGGUUUUCAUGGUUUUUUUUGUAUUUUAUAAUUUAUUUUAAAUUCAGGGCGCCCAGGUGUUUGGCUUAUUCCCCAAUGUUGGCAGCAGUGAUAAUCUGGCCUUCGUUUUUGCGCGAAAUAGGCACAGACCAAGUCUGAGAGCAAAGAAACCCCACACAAAAACAAAACGCUUGCGCAAGGCUGAAAGGUUAAGAUCCAAGGAGCCGAAGCGACAGCCCAGCAAGUGUCUCUGCUGAAAUUCUUUGGGGUUUGCAGGGACCAGCCGGGCCGAGGCAGCAAACUGCCUGUUCCCCACGCACCCCACAAGGGGCAGCGUGCGAGGAAACCCCGGCGACCUCCGGGGCUAGGGCUUCCGUGGCGCAGGGUCAGCGAGGGAUACACCCGGGUAGCCACUAUGGUCCGCAGCUCCACCCCGGGAACGCAGAGCAGCCCUCACUGGCGGACUCAAGCUUCGGCAGGGACACACCGACCCGGAAGUGCAGUCGUCCCCACCGCAAGUACUUCCGCUUCCCUCCGUAAGGAAGCUGGGACUCAGAGAAAUUAAGGGACUUGGUGAAGCAGAGAAUGUCAAGGGAAUUGAUUCAGUAGUGGACGGGGAGUCCCUGAAGAUUGUUGAGCAGUGAAGAGACCUGAUCAAAUACUAAAAAAGUACAUGCAAUGGCAAGAAGAUCAACUAAGAGAAUGAAGUUCCAGAAAACACACUUUCUGAAAAUAGCCAGGAGUCCAGAAGUCAGAUGGAACCUUCUUCAAAAGACCAACCUCUUUCUAUUAGCAGUUCAGGGAUCCAGAUGCUUGCAAAUGUCCAGUGCAGGCUGAUCUCAGAACACUCCUCACAACAGAUGGGUACUGAUGGCUGAGUACACGGUGCCCUGGGGAAGGCUGAGCCCAAGGCACAGAAGCAGGCAGAGUCCAGUUCCCUGGUUCUCCAGCACCCUUAGGUACAAGCACACCAUCUUGCCCCAGUGUUGGAAUUCUUCAGAACCAGAAUUGCAUCCAGAUCUCUUUUCAUUAAAGCACUUCUAAUUCCCUCACUCAGCCCCAGCACAGGAUGGCGGGAGUAGAGGAGGUUCUGGAGUAAGUCACCUCGUGGGCAUGGGCAAUAGAGGGAUGAUGCCCGUGGGAGGUAGGGGGAAUGGGAGGCAAAGCUCCACGCUGGAACUGCUGCUGAAGAGCGUGGGGGAAGAGGCCUCUUCUCUGGCAGUGAUCCCAGGUGCUGGUGGUGCAGGAUGCUUUCACAGCAGUAUUCAGGGGACCAUGACACUCCACAGGUUCAGCUUAGAGGACAUCACAUCCUCCAUGGCCUGGCCUACAACGAUUGGCUUGUGGCUUUUAGUUUUCACACAGUCACACCUCAGGGUGAGCCAGCUCUGCAGUAGGAUGCACAGCUUUGUCUGCAGCCUCACAGACAUGAACUGCACUCUCAUGCCCUGUGCCCCAGUGCUGGCUGGGCCUUGGUCCUAUUACAUCUGGAACUCAAGGUAGUACGUCAGUGGCCAGGAUUCACACUCAGAACCACCUUGAAAGUCUGUGCUGUUACCACUAUGUCGCAGAGGUAGAAGUAGAUGUCUGUAUAAACAACCUUUGGGUAGCAGGUGGUCAGUUAGGCAGGAAAAAUAAUUCUGCUACAUUAUAUGUAUCAGGAGUAUAUUGACAGGAACAUGUGUGUUGGGAAUAUCUAUGUCAGGAAUAGCAUGAAGAAAGAAAGGCCUUGCCAGUUCUGAGCAAGCUACAUCACACAUCUUGCUAAAGUUUUUGCUGUAUGGAAUUGGUCAUUUUAGAGAUGUCAGUUACCUAGCACAAGAAUUGCAAAGAACAAGGUUGGCCAUGGAAACCCUUCCUAAGGCAGAGAACUAUGUGUUUAAGAACAGGGGCUCAGCAGCAGAUGCCUAAGCUACACAGGCUUGGGCAAGCCACUGCCCUCUUAGCGUCUGUUUUCUCAUCUACAAAAUAUGAAAAAUAAUUGAAUUUUCUUCAACACUUAUGAAGAUGAUAAAUGUUGAGAGUUUAAUACUGUGCCUAUUGUGGUAAGAGCUCUGCUCUUACUUUCUCUGCCUUCACACUUCAGACUGCAAAGUCACCCUCAGCAGCUUUCUGGGGACCCCAGAAAGUCAAAAUGACCCCCUCUGUGGAUUCCUAGAGUUUUCCAGAGGAGGGAAACCAGAAGUCAGCUCUGCUCAGAACUGCUCCUGUGAGAUAUCGGCAUGUGGAUGAAGGCUUAUUUGCUUAAAUCUACGGGGACAGAUAUGAAGGAUUAGUCUGGGCUCCUGGAAAUUCUCUUUAUAAGAAUAUUUAUACAGUACCCAGAACAAGGUUUUUCUUUGCCCAUGUGAAUAGAGAUUACUCUAUUAACAUUGAGAAUCCACAAGGCAAAUUAGAUAUAAAGUGAGGAUCGCUUUGUGCUUGUUUUCCGAGAGUGAAAUAUUCCUCAAUGGUAGGCUUAACUCCCUGGGAUAUUCACAUUAAACAUCCACACACCCUGCCCCCCAUGCACUUACACACAUACCACCUUGAUUUGCUAGAAGACUUCUGAGAUAUUGUCCAGAGAAAGAACCCAGAUUUGAGUCCUUAAGACAGGGGUUCUCCCUUCACUGAUAACACGUUAAAAUUUUAAUACUCCUUUCUUACCCUCUCCCUUGUGCUACCCUAUUUGGGGAAAAUGUAAAUUAGUACAACUUCCAUGAAAAACAGUAUGGAUAUUUCUCGAAGAAACAUUCAAUCUAGCAGUCCCAGUACUGGGUAUCUACCCAAAGGAAAAGAAACCAUUAUAUCCAAAAAAUACCCGCACUUGCAUGUUUACCACAGCACUAUUCACAAUAACAAAGAGAUGGAAUCAACCUAAGUGUCCAUCA
Molecule: long non-coding RNA, 3528 nt
Organism: Cercocebus atys (sooty mangabey)
Lineage: Eukaryota; Metazoa; Chordata; Mammalia; Primates; Cercopithecidae
Exons: 3
Source: RefSeq, a predicted model, not a curated record